This 517-nucleotide ribosomal RNA is filed under the name uncultured bacterium. RNAcentral describes it as "bacterial SSU rRNA". It matches the Rfam family "Bacterial small subunit ribosomal RNA", at positions 8 to 521 of the family's 1533-position model. The record is from RNAcentral.
AGAGUUUGAUCCUGGCUCAGAUUGAACGCUGGCGGCAUGCUUUACACAUGCAAGUCGAACGGCAGCACGGGGGCAACCCUGGUGGCGAGUGGCGAACGGGUGAGUAAUACAUCGGAACGUAUCCUUGAGUGGGGGAUAACGCAGCGAAAGUUGUGCUAAUACCGCAUGAGCUCUGAGGAGGGAAGUGGGGGACCGUAAGGCCUCACGCUGAAGGGGCGGCCGAUGUCCGAUUAGCUAGUUGGUGAGGUAAAGGCUCACCAAGGCUUCGAUCGGUAGCUGGUCUGAGAGGAUGAUCAGCCACACUGGGACUGAGACACGGCCCAGACUCCUACGGGAGGCAGCAGUGGGGAAUUUUGACUAUGGGGGCAACCCUGAUCCAGCCAUGCCGCGUGAGUGAAGAAGGCCUUCGGGUUGUAAAGCUCUUUCUUGAGGGAAGAAACGGACAUACUGAAUAGCAGUGGCUACUGACGGGACCUCAACAAGAAGAACCGGCUACCUACAUGCCAGCCCCCACGGU